This is a long non-coding RNA of Xyrauchen texanus (razorback sucker), 4705 nucleotides long. RefSeq lists it as uncharacterized. The transcript is spliced from 3 exons. The record is from RefSeq and is a predicted model, not a curated record. NCBI's taxonomy places the organism in Eukaryota, Metazoa, Chordata, Actinopteri, Cypriniformes, Catostomidae.
CUGAACAAGUCUCUUCAUUCGCACAUGCUGUUCAGAGUCUGGCUGGCAGAGUUCUCCCAUCUUUUUAGUCCAGCUUUGCUUGUUAGAAACGCACUAGUUUCUUUUUGUACUCUACCUUUGACGGGUGAGGUCUCACUGGUUGUUUGGACUGCUUGUUUUUUUCCAUCAACUUUUUUUCCAGCACCAUCAACUGAAUCUUUCCUUUUCCUGGGAAAGAGCACAAUUGCAGCCAGGUUGUCAGACUAACUCCCCAGGAGGUUAAUUCAGCCUCUUUGUGUGCAAAAACUGCCGCAAUGAUCAUCAGGCUGGGCAGACUGACCCCUGGAUACUUCCGUCUCCUGCAGAGGCAGGUAGCAGGUGAGGUGCAGGCCCCAACACACGACCGCUCCGUCAACCAAAUCGCCAUGAUGCUGGCCAUCAUGGGCCUUGGCAUGUCCUACUACAGUGCCAAGCAGAUGACGGAAAAGGUGCACCAAGCGCCUGCCCUGUGAAGAUGCACCUAGCUCCGGUUUGUUGGUAUCCGGAGAAGACGUAUCCAAAUUGGAGAUGGAAGUUGGAAUUACCGAGAUUACCAUAUGCAUCCAAUAUCACACUACACCCUUUCUAUAUCAUUUAGACACUGGAUUUUCAAGGAUCACACACCACAGGGAAGCGAGUUUGGGGCUUCUGUUAAGGGUUCACUUGCUUUAUUGUAGCACUCAAUGGGGUCUGGAGAUGGUUAAAUGAUUCCUCGUCUUGGCUUGUUGGCUUCUCCUACAGGUGUGGCCUGAAUCUUGAUAGUUGCCAUGGUACAUGCACCAGAGAGUCAAUUUUGCUGUAAAUUUACAGGGAAAAACUUGGUCUCUACCAGUGCAUAAUAAGAUGCACAACUUGGGGGAGCACUACAAUGAGCCAUAAUACAUUUUAAAGGGAAGGACCUCUGUGUUUGAGAUGUACCAAGCAACUAUUCAAAGCAGGCCCACUACACUUUGUAGGACAGUAAAACUGGUUAUAUUGGAGAUUUACCCCAUAAAGAUGUCUUGCUAUUGAAGAAGAAUUCACAGAGCCCUGACAACAUUUAGUUCUACAAUAGUACACUUGUUGAGUAUUUAUGUGUUAGACACUUUGGAAAUAUUGCAAUACUAUGCAGAGUAACUAAUGUUAAAGGGACCUGUUCUUGUCUUAACUUGAGUAAAUGUCUUCGUAACAUCUUGUUGAUUGUCCUGACAAAUGGUGAAUAACCCAACAAUACCCAUUAGACGUUCAUGCCUACUUUCUCUGUGUGCAAUUGCAUGAGUUUGAAGCUGUGUUUUUUGUGAAACCAAUCCAUAACAUUGUUUCUAAUUCUUUUUUAUGAUAAUGUGAUUAUGAUGAAUGUAUGUUGUAUUUUUUAAAAAACUGAUCAAAUAAAGCUGUGAAUAUUUUGAACAAGAUCAAAGUUAUGAACCGGAAGACUACAGAAGGUUAAAGAAUGUUAUAUUAUGAAACCUUUUGGGGACUGAAUAGCUCUCUCGGAAAUUGCUGAUAAAAUGUCAAUCCUGCAGAUUUGUAGACGGACAUCUGAGGCCUGCGCCGAAACCAUAUAAAAGGCUUUCCUUUCCACAGAAGCGUGCUGUCGAACAGGAUGUGGGCAUAGCUUCAGGCAACAACUUCCUCUCUUGGCAUAAGAUAUUUGUCAACCAGCUGCCUGUUGUUCUGAGCUUGAUGCGUGACAUAGUUAACAAUCUGAACAUACCCACACAAUGAGUAUUUUGCAUACCGUUUAACUUGAGGUGUGUCUUGCCUUCUGAAAAGCUGAGCAUUUUAGGCCAGAAACAUACUCGAGCAUUCGCAAGUAUGUGACCGCUGACACUUCUAGCUACAAAAGAUCUACGUAUUUUUGCACUUCAGUACGUGUGCAUUCUCAUCAUUGCCGCAAAGGAUGCUAUAGCAGACUUGAGCAUAAACACGAUAUGCCUAGCUAAGCUAGCUCUAUUAAACGCAUUGUUGCAUUCCAAAAUGCGUCACCAUGCAAUUCAUAACAUAUUGCCAGUAUGUUUUGCAUUCGCCGCAUUGCCACAAAGGAUGCUAUAGCAGGCAUUAACAUAAGCACAAAUGUGCCUACCUACACUAGCUCUACCCUUAGAAAAAAAUCUAAACUAGUUGCAAAUUUGCCCCUUUUUAUUUUCUCAUACAAAUUAGCUUUUGAUUCACUGCAUUUAUUUACCAGAAGUUUGCAGCUUUUCGGCGGUAGUAGCGAUCCUUUGGCAACAAUGUACAAUUUGCUGCAUACAAUUUGUCACGUUUGCCGCAAAGCUCAUUUGCAUGUGAAAAUGAUCAGUGGCGAAUUUGUGGGAAAUUGGGAAUUGAGCCCAUUGUUGCCUUCCGAAAUUUGUCACUGCAAUUAAUAACGUAAUGCCAGUAUGUGUUGCAUUCUCAGCAUUGCCACAAGGAAUGCUAUAGCAGGCAUUAGCAUAAACCCAGAUAGCUAUGCUAGCUCUAUUGAGUGCAUCGAUGCUUUCGAAAUGUGUCACAAUGCAAUUCAAAACAUAACUCAAGAACGUGUUGCAUUCUCCGCCAUGCUACAAGGAAUGCUAUAGCGAGCAUUAGCAUAAACCCAGAUAGCUACGCUAGCUCUAUUGAGCGCAUUGAUGCUUUCGAAAUGUGUCACAAUGUAAUUCAAAACAUAACGCAAGAACGUGUUGCAUUCUCCGCCAUGCUACAAGGAAUGCUAUAGCAGGCAUUAGCAUAAACCCAGAUAGCUGCGCUAGCUCUAUUGAGCGCAUCGAUGCUUUCGAAAUGUGUCACAAUGCAAUUCAAAAAGUAAUGCAAGAACGUGUUGCAUUCUCCGCCAUGCUACAAGGAAUGCUAUGGCUAUUAGCGUAAAUGCAGAUACUUCUAGAUAUGCUAGCUCAAUUUAACAUAUUGUUGAAUGCUGAAAUGUGAUUGACAUUGGUAACACAAUGCAAGUACUAUUAAUAUCUCAAUGUUUUCGUAAGGAGUGCUAUUGCUGGCAUUAGUCUUUUACAGUCAAUUUUCUCUUUCUAGUCAGCUAGUAUGGCGCAGGAACCGUUUGAAAAUGGUUCCUUAGCGAGUUUGAUAAUACAAACGUGUUUAUAGCUAGCUAAAUGGAUAAUAAUCCAGUUUAACGGCACAGACAUUUAAAGGUAAUCCUCCCCCUGAGAAGAAGGACUGCUGUUUUCAUUGUAACGUUAAAACGCACGUUAAAUAUAUACAAGCGUUGCGUAUUUGCGUAUGUUUCUGGCCUUACUCUGCUGUUCUAUCUGCUUGUUUUCUUGCAUUUUAUCAAUGUAACAUGUCGCCUUUUAUCAGAGAGCAGAUGUGCAAAUAGCAUGUUGAACAGCUGUAAAGUGUUGGAACACCUGAUAAGAUUGGAGUGAGGUUUAUUAGAGAAACUUGAUGUUCUGCAAAACUGGACUAUAUUAUCUUAGGUUAAUUUUGGGCCGAAUGGUCCGAAACAGCGUUACGGCACCUCAGAUUCAAAAACAACAACAAAACAUCACUGCUAAUCACUUCAUUCUACUUCUGUUAGGGCUCCCCCUCAUUAAAAAUCCCAAUUUAACUAUUGGCUAUUAUUGAAUCAGAAGUGUUUUGAUGUGUAUAAUUUGUUGAGCCUGUGAGGCAUGUGAAGGACAUUGGGAUGUUUCUUACCAGCAUGCUUUUUUGCUAUAUAGUGCUAAUCAUAGUUUUGCAAACAAACUGCCUUCAGAUGACACUGUAAUUAAUUUAUUGUUCAUUUCAAACCCUUUCUUUCCAUUACCAAGCAAGAGGCAGUUGCAGGUAUUGCGCCAGUGCUGUUGGGGCGGGGAAGUGGAUGUGCUCUUAAUCUUUGCAUGAAUGCUCAGGGCAGAUGGGAUGCCCUGUGACAAGCUAGGUCUGCAUUGCAUGAAACGUGCUAUUCUGCAUUUCACCGUUAGCUCCUCCUCUCGCCGCCUCUCUGAUCACUGGGCAAAUUUGCCAAAAAAAUACAGCUUGGGCUGUUUUGAUAUGUAAGCUUAGGACAUGAACCCAAACACAGUUGCCUCAUUGGCUGUCCGGUGAUGCAUCAUGAUGUCGUUACAGUUUCGAGCCACAGAAACAAAGAGACGGGGAUCACGUUGGCGACAGCGUAAUGCACACGGUUGCUUUACAAAAACGGCUUUUUAUAUAGAAGGGACAAAACAUGACUUAAUAUGAGUUAACAGUGGCCUUUUAUGUUUUAAAAUAUUUUGAUGAUGGUUAAUGUAAAAUUGAAGGAAAAUUAUUUUUAUAAUGAACACGUUGUGAUAUGUAAACAUUGUAAGACUGUUGUAAGUCUAUAUUCAUGUAUCCGAUUACGUAUGAGAGCUUCAUACAUGAAGGACUUUGCCUGAAAUAUGAAUUAAACCUACAGAAGUUCCCAUGAUGCACUCUGUGGGUCUGUACAGCUCAUGUAGCAAUUGUCUUGUUGUUGUUUUCUUUACCUCACAGCCACUAUUAUUUCAUAAACACACCCAUAUAUAGUUAAGAGGAUAGACAAAAUAUAUAUGCUUAAAAUAAAGAAGAAUGCUUCCCAUGUCUUUUGUUGUCAAAGUUGGCUGUGCGUGACAUUUUUGGGUGUUUAAAGAGUGAUAAUGUUGUGAAAUGCUGAUUAAGUUAUGUGCCUGAACAUCUGCUAAAAUCUCCCGCCUUUUCUGGCAACUGUUCAUUUGAGUAAUAUUUGCAGUUUGUCAAUUAAAUGUGCUUACCGUUACAUUUAAACAAUGUU